CCCUUAGAUGUUCUGGGCCGCACGCGCGCUACAAUGAUGAAUUCAACGAGUUUAUAACCUUGGUUGAAAAGCCUGGGUAAUCUUUUGAACUUUCGUCGUGAUGGGGCUAGACCCUUGCAAUUAUUGGUCUCCAACGAGGAAUUCCUAGUAAACGCAAGUCAUCAGCUUGCAUUGAUUACGUCCCUGCCCUUUGUACACAUUGCCCGUCGCACCUACCGAUUGAAUGGUCCGGUGAAGCCUCGGGAUUGUGGUUCUUGCCGCUUUAUUGUGGCGUGACCGCGAGAACUUGUCUAAACCUUAUCAUCUAGAGGAAGGUGAAGUCGUAACA
This 328-nucleotide ribosomal RNA is filed under the name uncultured eukaryote. RNAcentral describes it as "partial 18S ribosomal RNA". It matches the Rfam family "Eukaryotic small subunit ribosomal RNA", at positions 1470 to 1796 of the family's 1831-position model. The record is from RNAcentral.